Labrus mixtus (cuckoo wrasse) is the source of this 875-nucleotide RNA transcript. It is a transcript of the gene named fibroblast growth factor 6-like, with no coding region annotated. NCBI's taxonomy places the organism in Eukaryota, Metazoa, Chordata, Actinopteri, Labriformes, Labridae. The transcript is spliced from 5 exons. The record is from RefSeq and is a predicted model, not a curated record.
AUGGCCGUUGCGCAAAGGCUCCUCGUCAGUAUGUCCUGCGAGGCCGGCACGCCGCACUGGACGCUGACCGCGGUGGUUCUCCUGGGCUUUCUGCUGGGGAUCGUGUCAGCGUACCCCUUACCGAGCGGCAGGACGAAUGCAACUUUACUGGAGAAAAGAUGGGAGACCCUCUUCUCUCGCUCUGUGCUGGGGAUCUCCGGAGAGAAACCGGAGCAGAACUGGGAGAGUGAAUAUCUGCUGGGCAUCAAAAGAGUGCGGAGGCUCUACUGCAACGUGGGCAUCGGGUUUCACCUUCAGAUCCUCCCCGACGGCAGGAUAAACGGUGCACAUAAUGAAAACCAGUACAGUCUAAUAGAGAUCUCCACGGUGGAGAGAGGGGUGGUGAGCCUAUACGGGGUGAAGAGUGAGCUGUUUGUCGCAAUGAACAGCAGAGGAAGGUUAUACGGAACGACAGUCUUCCAUGACGAGUGUAAGUUCAAGGAGAGCUUGCUCCCAAACAACUACAACGCCUACGAGUCUCUGGUUUACAGAGGCUCCUACAUAGCACUCAGCAAGCAUGGCCGCGUGAAGAAGGGCAACAAGGCCACCACUGCCAUGACUGUGACGCACUUCUUACCCCGAAUAUGAUGAGCGAAAAAAAAACUGGCAAUGACAAACUUAUUUGCACAUGUGGAUUAUUUCCCAGUUCAAGCAUUAUCUCCAUCCCUUCCUCUCUGCUGCAGUCUCUGAAAUCAAAGUAGCUGCCCAAAGCACGGUAUCCCCAAUUGAUCAUGCAACCGGCUUCCUUCCUACUCAUGCUCAUUGCUGUGUCUGUCGUGGUGGAUUGUGCUCCGAGGCUCCGGGAUCCAGAGUGGCUUUCACAACAUCAGCCGAGC